UCGGGGAGCUAUUUACAAACCUCUGCUGAGAUGCUGUUCUGGCGGCCCCUAGUGUCAGUCUCGUUGCCAUUACAGUCCUUUCAGAGCGGUUAUCUGCCUGCUACCAUCGCUUCUUAUCGAGGGAGGAGGCGAGGCCUGAAGGACAGGCGCAUUGUUGUGCAACGUUGCAAUUUUAGUAACGUUAUCUUCGAACAAUGAGGUUGAAAUGUCCACUGUUAGAUCAGAGCAAAAGAGCCAAAACUUCAUCAAGGGAGGAGAUGGAGAAGAAUUAGCCUCCUGAAGAUGCUUGAUCAUUUUUCUUACAGGUGAGUGGAGUUGCUAUGGGCACCAGGCUGGGACCGGGCUCUGCUGAUGUUUUUGAUGACGGGGGAACGCUUUCAGCAGCCUCAUGUACUGCAGCUCUUGUCCAGCUCUUCACAUCGGUGAGACGGGAGGGUAGGCCAUGUCAGGGAACUAGUCAGAGCUGUGAGGAUCCAAGAUCUCUCCACGCCCAUAGUUCCCCAUUUCACCUCUAACGGCCAUGAUCACACUGAUCUCUCCGCCUGCGUCCUCACAGAGGGGUUUCAGAGCUCCUACUGGAGAAAGACAUCUGAAAUCACAUGGGAUAAGAUCACAUCUUCUCUCAACGGCAGACUCGUCUCCUUCUAAUCCUCCCUGUUCAUUUGCAGGUUCUCUGCUUCACAACUCUCCGGUUCUCCCUGAGUGUCGAUACCCUUUCUCCCCUGCUCCUGCCCUGUCUUUUGUUCUCCCAUGUGUUAUUAUCUGCCAGAUUCCCUCUCUCCCUCACACCUGAAGAAGGCUCCACCGCCGAAACCUGGUGUCUCUCUGUUUCCCUGUUUCUUUGCAGCCGACGCAUGCCGACACGGGUCCCUGCUCAUACUGAAGCUAAUGCUACAGCAUUAACCGGUGGAAAAGCACCAGUUUAAAGUCUCAUUCGAAGGACAGAAGCUCUUGCACAGUGUUCUUGCUCUUCACAGUGUUCCCUGUCACCGCACUGGGCCAGUGGGAAGAGUGCCCCCCUACAGGUCCCCCACUUUCACCGGCCGUCGGGACUUCGUUAGAGGUCUCCCACCCCAGGACUGAACAGGCUGCUGACUAGAUCCGGCUGUGAGGCGGUGUUGCUGUUGCAAGUCAGGGCUUGGGGACUGCUUCUGUGAACAGCUACUGUAUAUUGCACUGUGUAUUGUAAGUUUGAAGACAGCAAGGCAGUUAAAAAACAAACUGAAAGAGCAGCCGGAGCCCAGGGAAGAGGAAGAGGUUGUCUCCGUCCAGCGGCUCUCCUCUCUUCCGUCAAGGCCCGAGUUACUAACCGUCUCCUCCUCCAGCCAGCAGGCAGAAUACAGGUGCAGUUUCUCCCCCCCUUGCCUUGAGCUGCGCAACACUGCCAGUGUUACUUGAGCUCAGGAAUAAAGAAAUAAAGUGCUGGGUGAAUAUUUACAUGUUCUCACCAGCAAUUCUGCAGUUAUUAAAAAAAGCAGAGAGUAACACAACAACACCUCUCAGCACAGAC
Long non-coding RNA from Lepisosteus oculatus (spotted gar), 1510 nucleotides. RefSeq lists it as uncharacterized. Lineage: Eukaryota; Metazoa; Chordata; Actinopteri; Semionotiformes; Lepisosteidae. The record is from RefSeq and is a predicted model, not a curated record.